This 506-nucleotide ribosomal RNA is filed under the name uncultured bacterium. Its description in RNAcentral is "partial 16S ribosomal RNA". It matches the Rfam family "Bacterial small subunit ribosomal RNA", at positions 29 to 523 of the family's 1533-position model. The record is from RNAcentral.
AGUGAACGCUGGCGGUAGGCCUAACACAUGCAAGUCGAACGGCAGCACAGAGGAGCUUGCUCCUUGGGUGGCGAGUGGCGGACGGGUGAGGAAUACAUCGGAAUCUACUCUGUCGUGGGGGAUAACGUAGGGAAACUUACGCUAAUACCGCAUACGACCUACGGGUGAAAGCAGGGGACCUUCGGGCCUUGCGCGAUUGAAUGAGCCGAUGUCGGAUUAGCUAGUUGGCGGGGUAAAGGCCCACCAAGGCGACGAUCCGUAGCUGGUCUGAGAGGAUGAUCAGCCACACUGGAACUGAGACACGGUCCAGACUCCUACGGGAGGCAGCAGUGGGGAAUAUUGGACAAUGGGCGCAAGCCUGAUCCAGCCAUACCGCGUGGGUGAAGAAGGCCUUCGGGUUGUAAAGCCCUUUUGUUGGGAAAGAAAUCCAUCUGGUUAAUACCCGGGUGGGAUGACGGUACCCAUAGAAUAAGCACCGACUAACUUCGUGCCAGCCGCCGCGGUAA